Molecule: long non-coding RNA, 1334 nt
Organism: Homo sapiens (human)
Lineage: Eukaryota; Metazoa; Chordata; Mammalia; Primates; Hominidae
Source: Ensembl
GAGUGCACAGGGAAUGUUCAUCAAAAUAGGUCCAUCAUGUUUUGAACCACAGAACAAACUGCAACAAAUGUUUACCACUAGGUCACCUGGCUGCCCUUCUCUCUGAGUUAAGUGGCCUAGCUCCAUCCCUCCUGGUAAAGAUGGUUCUUCCAUCUUGCUGAUAGGAGUACUUUAAAGUUACUGCUUAAAGAUGAGAAGACUGUGGCUUGGAGACGUUAAGUGACUUACCCAAGGGCACAGAGCUCAUGAACCUGAAUCAGGGUUCACGCCAAACAGUGUGGCUCUGGGGCCCCGGGCUCCUGUACACUAUUCUGCAUGAUCUCUUGGCCUGGAGAACAGACCCAGGUGGACUGGGGCCAUCACUCUGGAUGCCCAAAAGAUGAGGACUUCUUAGGAAGUUGAGCAGCGAGCACUAGAUAUUAUUAAUAGAUGUCAAUAGCUGCUCAGACAUAGUAAUCAAAUGAAUUCUAAGGUCUUGAAUGUAAGGAGACUCACCACUUAUCCUUCAUCCCUUUGCUGGUGACAAGAAGAGACCAAGGUUUGUGAUGGUACUGCUGGGGGCUGCCUGUCAGAAAAAGGAAGGCAUCCUGCUUGGACCGGUUUCUGCAGAGGAAGGAAAGAAAGGAAACGUCGUCCCCUGGUGGGCAUCGUUGGUAGCGGCAGUAGGCAGCCGACCAGCAUUAGGUAUGAGGAGGAUGUUAAGGCAAGGAGGUUUCUCGAGUCCUGGUGAAUUAUCAUGUUGUAACUAUCCCAUGGCCAUUUAAAAGGAAUGUGCAUUCUGCUUAAAGGAUAUAUAUGCGUCUAUUAAAUCAAGAUGCUUUUAUUGUUACAUUCUUCAAAUCCUCUAUAUUCAUAUAUAAAUCCAUGCAUAUGAAAAUAUAUGAAUAUAUAGUCUAAAUUCAUAUAUAUAGUCUAUAUUCAUAUAUGUAUAUAUUUCUUGUGUCAAUUACGAGGGGCAGAGAGACAUGUUAAAAUCUCCUGGCUAUAAUUUUUAUUUGUCUAUUUUCCUUCAUACACUGCUAUGGUUUGAAUAUCCCUUCCAAAACUCAUGUUGAAAUUUAAUUGCCAUUGUAACAGUACUAAGAGGUGGAAUCUUUAAGAGAUAAUUAGGCCAUGAGGACUCCACUGUCUCGAAUGGAUUAGUGUUGCUAUCAUGGGAAUAGUUUCGCUAUAAAAGAGUGAAGAAAGACCCCCUUUUCUCUCUCACCCUCUCUUGCCCUUCUGUCUUCUGCCAUGGGAUGACACAGAAAGAAGGCUUCACCAAAUGCUGGUGCCUUGAUCUUGGACUUCCCAGCUUCCAGAUGUGAGAGAAAUAAAUCUGUGUUCAUUAUAAA